Molecule: non-coding RNA, 628 nt
Organism: Cyanistes caeruleus (blue tit)
Lineage: Eukaryota; Metazoa; Chordata; Aves; Passeriformes; Paridae
Source: the annotation of a RefSeq genome assembly
AUCAUUCCGCGGGGUUCCAGACUCUCCUGCGGGGUCCUGGCUGGGGCUGAGGUUCUGGACUCUCCUGGGUGAUCUGGAACCUCAGCACCAUCCAGGAGCCGGCAGGAGAGUCCAGAACCCCGGGCUGGCUCCAGAACCUGGGGACCCUCGGGAUGAAUCCAGAACCUUCUGGAAGAACCUCAGCACCCCCCGGGACACGCCCGGAUCCGGCUUUGCCUCAUCCCCAUCUCCCCUUUUUCCCGCAGGGCUCCGGGCGGCCGUGACCCUGCUGGAGUCCGGGGGGGACCUCCAGCCCCCCGGGGGGUCCCUGCGCCUCAUCUGCCGAGGACAAGGAUUUGAGUUUAGGAACCACAACAUGUACUGGAUGCGCCAGAGACCCGGGAAGGCGCUGGAAUUCCUUGCAUUGAUCAGAAAUGAUGGUGGUUACACCGAGUACGCGCCGUCGGUGCAGGGCCGGUUCACCAUCGCCAGGGACAACGGGCAGAGCUCGGUGACGCUGAGCAUGAACAACCUCCAGGACGAGGAUUCCGGGGUUUAUUUCUGCGCCAGAUGUGUUAAUAAUCGUUGUUGGGCUGCUGCUGGAGCUGCUUUUGGUGACUAUGCUGAUGCCAGCCCCAGUGCCCCUUGA